Rhea pennata is the source of this 4860-nucleotide RNA transcript. It is a transcript of the gene named purine rich element binding protein A, with no coding region annotated. The record is from RefSeq and is a predicted model, not a curated record. The transcript is spliced from 3 exons. Lineage: Eukaryota; Metazoa; Chordata; Aves; Rheiformes; Rheidae.
AUGGCGGACAGAGACAGUGGCAGCGAGCAGGGCGGCGGCGGCGGCGGGGGCGCGCCGGGCUCCGGGGGGCCGGGCUCGGGCGGCGGCGGCGGCCCGGGGGGCGGCCUGCAGCACGAGACGCAGGAGCUGGCCUCCAAGCGGGUGGACAUCCAGAACAAGCGCUUCUACCUGGACGUCAAGCAGAACGCCAAGGGCCGCUUCCUCAAGAUCGCCGAGGUGGGCGCCGGCGGCAACAAGAGCCGCCUCACGCUCUCCAUGUCGGUGGCCGUGGAGUUCCGCGACUACCUGGGCGACUUCAUCGAGCACUACGCGCAGCUGGGGCCCAGCCAGCCGCCCGAGCUGGCGCAGGCGGCCGACGAGCCGCGCCGGGCGCUCAAGAGCGAGUUCCUGGUGCGGGAGAACCGCAAGUACUACAUGGAUCUGAAGGAGAACCAGCGCGGGCGCUUCCUCCGCAUCCGCCAGACCGUGAACCGCGGCCCGGGGCUGGGCUCCACGCAGGGCCAGACCAUCGCGCUGCCGGCGCAGGGGCUCAUCGAGUUCCGCGACGCCCUGGCCAAGCUCAUCGACGACUACGGCGUGGAGGAGGAGCCGGCCGAGCUGCCCGAGGGCACCUCCUUGACUGUGGACAACAAGCGUUUCUUCUUCGACGUGGGCUCCAACAAGUACGGCGUGUUCAUGCGGGUGAGCGAGGUGAAGCCCACCUACCGCAACUCCAUCACCGUCCCCUACAAGGUGUGGGCCAAGUUCGGCCACACCUUCUGCAAGUACUCGGACGAGAUGAAGAAGAUCCAGGAGAAGCAGCGGGACAAGCGCGCCGCCGCCGCCGCCUCCUCCGCGGGCGCAGGGGCCGAGCAGCAGCCCGAGGCGGAGAGCAGCGCCGCCGCCGCCGCCGCCGCCGGGCCGCCCGGGGCCCUGCUGCAGGCCGAGGAGCCCGAGGAGGAUUGAUCCCGACUCGGCCUGCCCUCGCUGCCUCCCUGCCUGCUGCACAGAGACACACCCCCCCCCUUCCCCCCCCCCAGAGACUGAGCCUGUCCCGGGCAGAACAGAGAGACCGCGGCACGCAACCCGAGAGAGAAACGAUGCCAGGCGUCAAAAGAGGGAAAACAAACAGCAAACGACAAAAAAACCGAGAAAUAAAAAAAACCGUGCACCUGUUCAGAGCUCCAAGGGAGCACCACCCACCCGACAGCCUCCACAAACUGACAGCCGAGCAACUCCUCCGACCUGCCACCCAUCGCUGGAUGUUCCUCCACUUUACCCACCGUAUCAAAACAACUUUUACCAGUAAAUAUCGGUUUAUUCCUGAAACCAGAAGCCCUAAACAUACCUUUGUUUAUAAGUUUUCCUGCUCUGCAUCUCCGGAAAAGGAGCCCUCAGGACCUAGACCCUUCUGUUGGUAAUGUAGACCUGAGUUUACAAAUUGUUGUUUUAACAUUUUAAAGCCUGCUUUAAAGGAUACAGGUGUUUCCCGUCAGUCUGGUGCGGGAACUGAUAGAAAUGCCUGCAAAUGCAUACAUUGGUGCACCUUUCCAAAGCCUGCGGGUAGGUCUCUCACCAGUAUCUUCAAGCCUGGGUUUAGGAAAUAUUUCUCCAAAAGUAGACACCAGGAAAUGACAUUUCUGUUUUACAGGGCUGGGGGAGGGCAGGGUGGGAUCAAAAUUUGGAAAUGAUUCUUUAUUCCCCCCCUCCUUUUUUUUUCUAUAAUAUCCUACGCGAAAGCAAGUGUUCUCUUUUGUAAACAAAGCAUGAAGCGGGGAGAAGGGAGAGAAUUUGAACGUUACCCCUUCCUAAGCUUGUUGCAAACUCUUUUUCUCCGCAGCGGAGAGAAAAUUCAGGUAAAAGGUUUGAAACUUAAAAGGACAUUGUUAGGUAGGAGAGACUCCAAAAGCGGGCUGGCGUUUCUUACUGAUUGGAACUGAUUCCCAUAAUUUUCAGAAUUUUGAUUUAUACCAAGACAAAUCAACUUGGGAGCGCUGAAGCUUCCUUUCCUGCAAGCGGUUGCAACCCAAACACAACAGCAUUAUGCUAAUACUCGAGAAGCAGAGGAGCUGGCGGGAAUAGAAAAUGAGUUGACUGUGCAGCCCCAGCCAGAUUUUUCUCUUCUGAACAAACGAAAUUUAAAAAAAGAGAGAAAAAAGAGAGAAAAAAGACCACAUGACCCCCCCCCCACAAAAAGCGAACAAAAUCAAAAUGUGAUUUCAGCUGUUUUAUCAUAUAAUCGUUACGUCCGGCACAAGUGUUUUCAGUACAACCGCAGCCUAACUAUGUCCCUUUAAGGAGCACAAUUUACUAAUUGCCUCGUAAUGAAACGAAAGCUAAAGUUAUCUUCCCUUUGGUGCAAAUCAAAGCUCCUGCAAGCCUUAGUUGGAGUCCCUAAUGACAGGCAUCUUCUAGCUGUACACUUUGAGCUGAAAACUACCUUUCCUCCCCUUUUACAGCCUGUGUGGUUCUGAUUGCUGGCAGUUCUAUAACACAGCUUUAAUCUGAGCAAUUGAGCCUGGUCCUACCCUAUCUGCAGACGUCUUGCGGAGGACUCCUGUUACCAGUUUGGUACUCAAAAGCUACACCCCACCAUGAGAAGUCACUUAUUUUUUACAAGGCAGUGAUAGCUUACCCUCUCUAGCUCUAAUGGGAAAAUGGUAUUGCAAUGCAACUUUCUUAAUAAAUUGUUCAUCUAGUCGUAAUUCUGUUGCGAGCCCAAAUUGGAGAACAGAUCUGUUAAAGGUAUAUAUUAGUCUAAAUUUUUUUCUUAUUGUAAAUACUGUAAUUUUAUAAUACUGUCAAUAUUUUAUUAACUUAGAAAUAUUUAACAGAGUUUAAUCUAUGUUAGUUCAGAUUUAUUUAUAGGUUUAUGUUGCAGCCAAUAUUGCAUUACAUUCUAAUGUAAGAUUAACUUUCAGUGUGUAAACAUUGGUUUAAUACAUCAUUGGGAAAACUAAGAACUGAGAGAAAAUUCUCACUCUUAAGCUGUAAUAUUUGUCCCCCAAUUCCCAGUUCAGAAUCAUUAAAUGAGCAAUUAUGAGAUUUCAAAAGUUCAUGAAAUUAGCAACUGCACUUGGACCAUGUCAUUUGAAAGCUUGAAUUUCUAAAUGUAUCUGGCUUUUUCACCCUGUUUGUAGUAAAUGAGAUUGCUUCAUUAUCGAAUCUGUGUAGUAUGGAAGUCUUUCUUUUGAGCAAAGGGACACUGUCAGAUCAAUUUUAGAUUCUUGUUUUUAAAAAAAAAGAAAAGGGAAAAAGCAAAACUCACCCUCAGUACAUGUGUGUUAAUUCCUUUUUAACUACGAAGUGGAAAUUAUUAUUAUUAUUAUUAUUAUUAUAGCUUGUUUAUUUGGCUGGAAGCAUUCCUGACACGGUUCACAUCUCAGAGCUGUGCAGCUCUGGGUGCAGGGUGAAAGGCAACCAGCCACAAGGACUUGCCUGACCACAGGACAUGGAGUUUCUCCCAGUCCCGAGUGAAAGGCCUGUGCAAAUGCUGCCUCUGCCUCAGAGGGAAAGGGGAUCAGGUCCCUGGCUCUGAUCUGAAUCAGAACCCAGCAAGAUGAGUAUAAGUGUCCAAGGAGUCUAAAACUCACCUUUUCUUGAUCAAAAUUUCUCUUCAAAAUUUUGCUUUUUUAAAUAUAUAUAUAUAUAUAUAUAUAUAUAUAUAUAUUCUUAGCCUGAUAGUGUCCCUUUAAAAGUAUAUAGAUGUUCACUUUCUCUGCAAAAUGACUGGAAGUGAUUUUCUUUUUAAGAUAAAGGAAAAUUCAUCUGUAAUAUGUUUGGAACAUAACUUGCCUAAAAAUACCAAAAAUAUCUCAAGGGAUUUCAUGGGAGUUGGUAUUUUUUUGCGUGUAAAAGUUAAUCUUUAUUAGAGAUGUGCCAAUCUAUACUGCUUUAUUGUAGUGCUGUUAUAUUUAGGCAUUUCAGUUAACUUACAAAUAUAUACUGUAACAGUAUACUUUGUACAGAUUUAUUUAAAAUUUAUUUGAAAACUGAAAUAAAGUAGGCAGAAAAUAAAGAUAUUUAUUUUUCAUUUGACUAUGUAAGAAGCUAUUGUUCUUUUGGUUUUAGUGUACAGGUGUACCCAGAACCACUGCAUUCUUUAGUUUGUAGGAUGCUCUUCAGAAAUUGUGGAUAUGUAUAUUUGUAUUGUUAUGUUGAUAAGUAAAUGAAAACGAUGGAGCUCAUUGCUUUUAUACAUCCCAAAGAGAAGUUCUUCAUGCUUUGUUUUCUGACUGAAAAGGCAUGUAUUUUUGAACAGUGUUCAUUCAAGUUCUGCCAUCCCACUUUCACAUCAACCUUUACCAAUUCCAGGAUGGGAGAAUUUACCUGUGUACCUUCCCCAGUGCACCAAAGUCAGCAGUGACAUCGUAAGGGAGUGGUUCAAAUGUGUUUCCUUGGGGCUGUGUGUAAAACAAAUGCAAAACGAGAAAAAUCAAGAUGUUAAAGUCAAUAGAAAACAAAUUCCUUAUUGUACAGUAGUAAUGAGAUCUCUAGUAAACCUGCCAUUAACAAUAGAUUCUUAUUUUUUGAAUGAUCUAUUUAAAAGAACAGCAAGCCUUGUAUUUACUAGUAAAUCUAAAGUGUUUACAUGGAAUUACUAAAUAAAUUAUUUGAUCUAAGACGGCUCUCAUCAGUGCUGAUUUUUAAUGUAGAAAAUUAAUUUGGGCUAAUGUUUGAUUAGUUUGUGCUGUUCUUUAAAGAGCAAAUUUUUGAAAACUUCCUUUCAUUUCGAGUUAAGUUCUGAGGAAGACACAAAACAUAUGUUUCCCCACGGAUUCGGACAAGAGUACUACCGAAUGUUUCCCAAUGUGAUCCGCACGUCUUGAUGCUGCACUUCCGUGUGCAAAAACGAAUGAUUUUAUUGCUGGAAUACAACAG